This 1830-nucleotide long non-coding RNA is filed under the name Citrus sinensis (sweet orange). RNAcentral describes it as "long non-coding RNA (CSIN_LNC001741)". The record is from RNAcentral. Lineage: Eukaryota; Viridiplantae; Streptophyta; Magnoliopsida; Sapindales; Rutaceae.
UCAAGCCCCCUUGUAAUUAGUGCUCACAUUAAUAUAGAUGAAAAAAAUAUUAUACAAAAUCUCUAUAUCUAAAUGUUAAUUCUGCUUUUCUCCAUUGUUCAAUUGUACAGCGUAUAAUAAGAUGAGUUUUGCUAAGGCCUGUAUUCAGGUGACGAAUGGCAUUGUCCGGUACUAACAACAUUAAGGCAAGUACUAAACAUCAAAUGCAAAAAAUCUAAUGUAAUAUCACCUUUCUGCUGCUUCUUCCACAAACAAUUGGCUUUUGAGUUAGUGACAUGAGGACGUAGCCAACCAAGGCAACAAGGAUGCCAAUCCUCAAACUUGGUGACUUAAGCUGUAGAUGCCUUUCUAGAGUAAACAACAUACAUGGGGUCUGAGCGUCCAGGAUUGGGAGAUAUGUCCACAGCCUGCAGAUCCAAAUUAGUAGACAAGUCUCUCAUUACUGGAUGAAUGGAUUAAGAAUGGUUAAACUGAUAAAGGAUGAUAAAGGCGCCUGACAAGAUUUUUAUUUGUUUUCAAAGAUAUUGUACUCAAACCACUUUGACCAUUCCGACAAAGAUCAAUCAAGGCUAGAUUUAGUGGACAGAGUAAACAGCAAAUAAUAAUCUAAAGGUCUGUGCAGCUGCCAAUGCCACCAUGAAGGCCUAGAUGUUUAUGCUUAUGAGCAGGGCAUGGUCAAGGUGCUAUUGUAGAAAAUGAAAAUAAGCAACAGCUACUUGAUUUUACUAAGACAAUGAACUUAAGAUAUCAGUUACCUGAGGAGGUUCAUAUCCUCCAGCAUAAUGGAAGUACGCUCCAACUAUCAUAACAUGGUCAGCAUCACCCGUUGACGUCCAUAUAGAGAUUGCUUUUGUCCAAAAGCAACGAUUGGAGAAGCUGCGAUAUAAACACAUUCCACAGAGAAAAAAUGUUGAAUCUAGAAAUGGAAUAUUCUCUCUUAAAAAAAAAAAAAAGAGACAAAGAUUGAGAUGAAGUAAUUUCAGAGAAAUUUUAAAUCAAGAAAAUUAUUAUUUUCAUACUGAUAAUCAGGGCAAUACAUGUUUGAGGUUGUAAAAUUACUUGGAAAUAUUGAUGAAAAUUCUUUGCAAAAUGAACUUAAUGAAAAUAGUUAACUUUCUUCAAUCAAUAAAAUUGCUUGGCUAAAAGUCAAGUCCCCAAAAUAUUAUUCAUUUACACUAUUAAAAUUCUAAUUGUAUACAUGUCUACCAAUAUUUUACAUAUUUACAUUAUUGAAGUUCUAAAUCUAUAUAGAAUUUAUAAAUAAAAUAUCAUGUAUAUAUUCAUCCUUAAAAAAAAAAAGAGAAUCAUGUCUAACAUUUAAGUUUUGAUGACGAUAAUCUACAAAUUGAUUUAUAAUAAAAAAAUAUAAUCGUGUAAUUAAUUGGAUAAAUAGGUCAAAAACUUUAAUACUAAUCCAACAUGGAAAAAAAAAUAUCGACCCUAAUCAUGACAAAUUUGACGAUCUAUAUUCAUUUAUUCGUGUUGUGUUUAUGUUGAAUAAUCAGGUCGUGUUAAAUGUUGACAACUCUGCUCUCAAGCCCCCUUGUAAUUAGUGCUCACAUUAAUAUAGAUGAAAAAAAUAUUAUACAAAAUCUCUAUAUCUAAAUGUUAAUUCUGCUUUUCUCCAUUGUUCAAUUGUACAGCGUAUAAUAAGAUGAGUUUUGCUAAGGCCUGUAUUCAGGUGACGAAUGGCAUUGUCCGGUACUAACAACAUUAAGGCAAGUACUAAACAUCAAAUGCAAAAAAUCUAAUGUAAUAUCACCUUUCUGCUGCUUCUUCCACAAACAAUUGGCUUUUGAGUUAGUGACAUGAGGACGUAGCCAACCAAGG